This 301-nucleotide ribosomal RNA is filed under the name uncultured bacterium. RNAcentral describes it as "partial 16S ribosomal RNA". It matches the Rfam family "Bacterial small subunit ribosomal RNA", at positions 509 to 807 of the family's 1533-position model. The record is from RNAcentral.
CAGUAGCCGCGGUAAUACGGAGGGGGCUAGCGUUGUUCGGAAUUACUGGGCGUAAAGCGCACGUAGGCGGCUUUUUAAGUCAGAGGUGAACGCCCGGAGCUCAACUCCGGAACUGCCUUUGAGACUGGAAGGCUUGAACGUCGGAGAGGUGAGUGGAAUUCCGAGUGUAGAGGUGAAAUUCGUAGAUAUUCGGAAGAACACCAGUGGCGAAGGCGGCUCACUGGACGACUGUUGACGCUGAGGUGCGAAAGCGUGGGGAGCAAACAGGAUUAGAUACCCCGGUAGUCCCUGUCUCUUAUAC